CAUAAAAAUGGGCUUUAAGACCCCCCCAAAAUGCGUUUCUUUUACCCAAAAAAUGGAUCAAAUUCGAUCAGGGUGGGGCGAAGCAGCCAAAUUUUGGGGACAAAAAAGGCAUUUUUUACCAAUCUGUGGAAAAAUUUAAGCUUUGUAAUUAAAAAAAAAAAGUCGAAAUUUCAUUUUGGGGGGUUUUGGGGCUGGGGUGGAAAUGGAGGUUUUUUGAAGCAGACCCCCCAAAAUGCCUUAAAUUGGCUUAAAAAUGCCUUAAAAACGAGCGUUUAUGAGUGGAAAUCUGUGAGAUUUUGGGGGAAGUUUCUCAGAUUUUGGGUCAGUCCGUGAGGAAAACAUGGAGGGCUCCAUUAGCAGUUAUUGGAAGAAUUCGUGUGGAGAUUUUGGGGUAAAAAUGUGAGAUUUUGGGUCAUUCCAUGAGGAAAAGAUGGAGAACUCCAUGAGGAGAUUUGGGGGGGGAUUUGUGUGGAGAUUUUGAGGUAAAAAUGUGAGAUUUUGGGUCAUUUUGUGACAGAAAAGGUGGAGGACUCCAUGAGGAGAUUUUGGAGGAAUUUGUGUGGAGAUUUUGAGGUAAAAAUGUGAGAUUUGGGGUCAUUUUGUGACAGAAAAGGUGGAGAACUCCAUGAGGACAUUUUGGAG
RNAcentral lists this long non-coding RNA (642 nucleotides) under Gallus gallus (chicken). The record is from RNAcentral. Lineage: Eukaryota; Metazoa; Chordata; Aves; Galliformes; Phasianidae.